Molecule: long non-coding RNA, 1031 nt
Organism: Papilio xuthus (Asian swallowtail)
Lineage: Eukaryota; Metazoa; Arthropoda; Insecta; Lepidoptera; Papilionidae
Exons: 3
Source: RefSeq, a predicted model, not a curated record
UCAUCGUAAAAAUAGUGGUGGUGGUUAAAAGUGAUUCUAAUGAAAAAUGUAGUGAUAGUGUCGUUUAGUAAAUUUCUCAAAUUGAUAUAAGUGCGUGUUAUCAAUAUGUGUGUGCUCGUGUGUUGUGUUAUAAUGUGGUUAUUGUGUGUGUUGUGUUCAUCGGGUUAAUUACUAUAUUGAAGAGAUGGAUUCUUUUCUUCGUCAACGUAAGAGGCGUAACAGCGUUCGUUGUCCGGUACGAUCCGGCAUCAAGAACAAUGGAAGAAGGGAGGCGAGCGCUCCGUCAAGUGCGAGAGCCCAUAAAUCCAAUAGGACGCGCAAUUUGUUGAAUUACAGCAUGCGCCAGCCAGCCACCGGCCCGACGCGAAAUUAGCUCCCACAGAGAUAAAUUGACGGCGGCCCGCUAAAUAAAUUAUUUGGGAAAAACCGAGAGAAAAAACUGGCGUCUUUCCUUGAUAAGGGUUGCGAGUAUUCUGCCUUGGGUGUAAUUAAUAUAGACCGGCUUAUAAACUAGGAAAUAGAAAUAUAAUUUUUUAAGACCUCAGAACAAAAGGGGGUAGUCAGCGGGGAUAAUAUUUAGAUUUAAACCAAUACUAACUCCAUUCCAGUUGACGCCAUCUUGAUGUAAUAAAUAUUCCCAUCGCUAUGUAACAUCGGGAUGGUUUCUGCAUAAAGUAACAAAAUAUUCCAUUGCGAAAUUGGUAAAGAGUUAAGGUCUCAUGUUAAAAAGAAUUACUACCAGAAAAAUUGCCUGUUCAAUAUUGUGUUUUUUAAUUCUUUUUGCGUGACAUUGUAUCAAAAGCGAUAAGGGGUUGACGCACCCUUUCUUUCAGCGGGAUUAAUCUUAGUUGUAUAUUCGAGAUUUAGCCAGCAAUAAGAAAGACGCAUAGGUGGGCUUAGAGAGGGUGGGCGCAGCAAAUUGUCUCAGCCGCGCCGCUCCCCACUGACGCGUACAUUUUAUUACAUUCGUUAACGCAUAUUAGAUGAAUGCGUAAAUACUUAAAAUUUGCAUGAAUAUUGUUAGAUGAUAG